This 497-nucleotide ribosomal RNA is filed under the name uncultured bacterium. Its description in RNAcentral is "partial 16S ribosomal RNA". It matches the Rfam family "Bacterial small subunit ribosomal RNA", at positions 28 to 507 of the family's 1533-position model. The record is from RNAcentral.
GACGAACGCUGGCGGCGUGCCUAAUACAUGCAAGUUGAGCGAUGAAGAUUGGUGCUUGCACCAAUUUGAAGAGCAGCGAACGGGUGAGUAACGCGUGGGGAAUCUGCCUUUGAGCGGGGGACAACAUUUGGAAACGAAUGCUAAUACCGCAUAACAACUUUAAACAUAAGUUUUAAGUUUGAAAGAUGCAAUUGCAUCACUCAAAGAUGAUCCCGCGUUGUAUUAGCUAGUUGGUGAGGUAAAGGCUCACCAAGGCGAUGAUACAUAGCCGACCUGAGGGGGUGAUCGGCCACAUUGGGACUGAGACACGGCCCAAACUCCUACGGGAGGAAGCAGUAGGGAAUCUUCGGCAAUGGACGAAAGUCUGGCCGAGCAACGCCGCGUGAGUGAAGAAGGUUUUCGGAUCGUAAAACUCUGUUGGUAGAGAAGAACGUUGGUGAGAGUGGAAAGCUCAUCAAGUGACGGUAACUACCCAGAAAGGGACGGCUAACUACGUG